CACUCUUUCCCUAAACCACGCUCUUCUGAUGUAUGUCAAACCCUCUAGUGCUGGUUUCCACGUACAAAAUGUGCUUAAAAGUUAAUGAGAUGCCAAGAAACAUAGUUUAAAAUAUUAUACAGAUUUUCAUUACACACAUAUGACACAAAAACAUGUUCCUUUAAUCA
Leopardus geoffroyi (Geoffroy's cat) is the source of this 167-nucleotide long non-coding RNA. RefSeq lists it as uncharacterized. The record is from RefSeq and is a predicted model, not a curated record. Lineage: Eukaryota; Metazoa; Chordata; Mammalia; Carnivora; Felidae. The transcript is spliced from 4 exons.